UGGGGAAUUUUGCGCAAUGGGCGAAAGCCUGACGCAGCGACGCCGCGUGUGCGAUGAAGGCCUUAGGGUUGUAAACCUCUUUUCUCAAGGAAGAUAAUGACGGUACUUGAGGAAUCAGCAUCGGCUAACUCCGUGCCAGCAGCCGCGGUAAUACGGAGGAUGCAAGCGUUAUUCGGAAUUAUUGGGCGUAAAGCGUCCGCAGGUGGUGCCUCAAGUCUGCUGUCAAAGACCGAAGCUCAACUUCGGGCAGGCAGUGGAAACUGAAGCACUAGAGUACGGUAGGGGUAGAGGGAAUUUCCAGUGUAGCGGUGAAAUGCGUAGAGAUUGGAAAGAACACCAGUGGCGAAGGCGCUCUACUGGACCGUAACUGACACUCAGGGACGAAAGCUAGGGGAGCGAAAGGGAUUAGAUACCCCUGUAGUCC
RNAcentral lists this ribosomal RNA (424 nucleotides) under uncultured prokaryote. RNAcentral's name for it is "bacterial SSU rRNA". It matches the Rfam family "Bacterial small subunit ribosomal RNA", at positions 355 to 796 of the family's 1533-position model. The record is from RNAcentral.